GACUCGUCACACUAUCAUUAACUGAAUCCAUAGGUUAAUGAGGCGAACCGGGGGAACUGAAACAUCUAAGUACCCCGAGGAAAAGAAAUCAACCGAGAUUCCCCCAGUAGCGGCGAGCGAACGGGGAGGAGCCCAGAGCCUGAAUCAGCAUGUGUGUUAGUGGAAGCGUCUGGAAAGGCGCGCGAUACAGGGUGACAGCCCCGUACACAAAAGCGCAUGUGCUGUGAGCUCGAUGAGUAGGGCGGGACACGUGGUAUCCUGUCUGAAUAUGGGGGGACCAUCCUCCAAGGCUAAAUACUCCUGACUGACCGAUAGUGAACCAGUACCGUGAGGGAAAGGCGAAAAGAACCCCGGCGAGGGGAGUGAAAAAGAACCUGAAACCGUGUACGUACAAGCAGUGGGAGCCCCACCACUAAGCCAGUGGUGAACUCCACAUACGCAUCCUUUGCUGAGGAUACGGUUAACGGAGCGAAAGCGACGUUCAACCGCAAAAGAAGCAGA
This 501-nucleotide ribosomal RNA is filed under the name Salmonella enterica subsp. enterica serovar Heidelberg. RNAcentral describes it as "partial 23S ribosomal RNA". It matches the Rfam family "Bacterial large subunit ribosomal RNA", at positions 137 to 665 of the family's 2925-position model. Lineage: Bacteria; Pseudomonadati; Pseudomonadota; Gammaproteobacteria; Enterobacterales; Enterobacteriaceae. The record is from RNAcentral.